Molecule: ribosomal RNA, 427 nt
Filed under: uncultured Bacteroidota bacterium
Lineage: Bacteria; Pseudomonadati; Bacteroidota
Description: bacterial SSU rRNA
Rfam family: Bacterial small subunit ribosomal RNA
Source: RNAcentral
CCGGAUUUAUUGGGUUUAAAGGGUGCGUAGGCGGAUUGAUAAGUCAGCGGUGAAACUCACAGGCUCAACCUGUGCCGUGCCGUUGAAACUGUUAAUCUUGAAUGCGGAUGCUGUGGGAGGAAUGUGUAGUGUAGCGGUGAAAUGCAUAGAUAUUACACAGAACACCGAUUGCGAAGGCAUCUCACAAAGCCGUGAUUGACGCUGAGGCACGAAAGUGUGGGGAUCAAACAGGAUUAGAUACCCUGGUAGUCCACUACUGUAAACGAUGAUAACUCGCUGCCGGCGAUAUAAAGUCGGUGGCCCAGCGAAAGCGAUAAGUUAUCCACCUGGGGAGUACGACCGCAAGGUUGAAACUCAAAGGAAUUGACGGGGGCCCGCACAAGCGGAGGAACAUGUGGUUUAAUUCGAUGAUACGCGAGGAACCUUA